RNAcentral lists this long non-coding RNA (8662 nucleotides) under Sarcophilus harrisii (Tasmanian devil). Its description in RNAcentral is "lncRNA (ENSSHAG00000024121.1)". The record is from RNAcentral. Lineage: Eukaryota; Metazoa; Chordata; Mammalia; Dasyuromorphia; Dasyuridae.
CACCAGCAUUUAUAUUUGUUCAGUUGUGUCCAAUUCUUUAGGAUUUUCUUGUUAAAGACACUAGACUGGCUUGCCAUUUCCCACUUCCAUUCAUUUUACAGAUAAGGAAACUGAAGCAAACAGGAUUAAGUGACUUGCCCAGGGUCACACAGUUAAUAAGUGUCCAAAGUCAAGUCAUAAUUUAACAUCAAGGAACAUCAAGGAAGAUGUUUUAUUGAUUUUAAAACCAUUUCUCUGUCCACUGCACUUCCCUAGUUACCCCAAUAUUUAUAUAGUGCCUACUAUGUGCCAGUACUGUUCUAAGCUCUUUUCAAAUAUAAUCUCCAUUGGUCUUCACAACACUCUGAGGCAGGUGCUAUAAUUAUCUCCACUUUACAAUUAUGUCCAAUUAUUUGUGACUCCAUUUGAGUUUUCUUGGCAGAAAUGCUGAAGUGAUUUGAUUUGCCAUUUCCUUCUCCAGUUCAUUCUUUUGUGGAUGAAAGCAUAUUUAUUUCCCAGUAUUCUCUUUUUAAAAACAUAUAUUUAUUUAUUUAAUAUUUUUCCCCGUUACAUUCAAAACAAUUUUCAUUUACAUUUGUUUUUAAGAUUUUUGAGUUCUAGGUUGUCUCUCCUAUACACACCCACAAUUAAAAAACCAUAUAUGAAGUUAUGUAUACCAUUUCUGUAACAGUCAAGCUGUGAAAGAAAACAUAGAUCUCUCAACCUAAUGAAAAUAAAAACCCUCAAGAAAAAUUAAGUUUAAAAUAAAGAGAUAGAGAGAGUAAUAGAGAAUUCUUCGACCUAUAUUCAGACUUGAUCAGUUGUUUUUCUGGAUAUGGAUAGGAUUUUUCAUUGUAACUCCUUCAGACUAAGUGUAGAUGAUUGUACUAUUAAGAAUAUCAAAGUCAUUUACAGCUGGUCAUCCCAGAACAUUGCUAUUACUUUGUAUACAAUAUAUUUCACUUUGUUCAUGGAGGACUUUCCAGGUUUUUUUUUUCCUGAGAGCCUUUUGCUCAUCAUUUCCCAAAGAACAAUAAUAUUCCAUUAGAGAAACUUGCUUCAAAAUUUUUUUUACAAUUUCUAUUUCUAAUUGUAUUUCCCCUCAUUUAUUCUCUCUUUCCUUUUAUCCUAUUCCUUCUCAAAAAGUCAGAACAUUGCUAUUACUUUACAUAAAAUAUAUUUCACUUUGUUCAUGGAGGACUUUACAAGGUUUUUUUUUUCCCUGAGAGCCUUCUGUUCAUCAUUUCCCAAAGAAUAAUAAUAUUCCAUCAGAGAAACUUGCUUCAAAAAAUUUUUUACAAUUACUAUUGCUAAUUGUAUUUCCCCCCAUUUAUUUUCUCUUUCCUUUCAUCCUAUUCCUUCUCUCUUUUAUCACCCUCCCCACUUCUCACAUCCCAUUCCCUUCCUCUUUUCCUGCAAGUUAAGACAGAUUUCUAUACCCCUAUUGAAAAUGUAUAUUAUUUUCUAUUUGAGCCAAUUCUGUUGAGAGUAAGAGCCAUUCAUUCCUCCUCUCCUCCCCCUCUUCUCAACUGAAAAAACUUUUUCUUGCUUCUUUUCUUGCAUCAUUCUACUUCUCCAUUUCCCUUUCUCCCAGUAUAUUCUUCUCUUACUUUUAUCAUUAAAAAAAGAUAUUAUCCCUUCAUAUUUAACUCACACCCAUACCUUCUGUCUAUAGAUACUUCUAACUGCCAUAAUAAUGAGAAUGUUUUAAUCCUCCCAUGUAGGAAUGUAAACAUAUAAACCUUAUUAAGGUUAAUAAUUUUCCUGAUUACCUCCUUAUGUUUCUCCAAAGUCCUGUAUUUGAAAAUCAAAUUUCCCAUUUAGCUCUGGUCUUUUCAUCAUUAAUUCUUGAAAAUUUUCUGUUUCAUUAAAUGACCAUCUUUUUCUCUAAUGGAUUAUACUCAGUUUUGCUGGGUUGGUGAUUCUUGGUUGUAGUUCUAGUUCCCUUGUUCUCUGCAAUAUAUUUCAAGUCCUUUGGUCCUUUAAUAUAAAAGUGGUUAAAUCUUGUGUUAUCCUGACUAUGGCUCCACUAUACUUGAAUUGUUUCUUUCUGGAUGCUUGCUUAUUUUACCUUGACCUGGGAGUUCCAGAAUUUGACUAUUAUAUUCUUGGGAGUUUUUAUUUGGGGAUCACUUUCAGGAAAUAAUUGGUGAAUUCUUUCACUUUCUAUUUUACUUUUUGGUUCUAGAAUAUCAGGACAAUUUUCCUUGAUCAUUUCUUGAAAAAUGACAUCUAGGCUCUUUUUCUGAUCAUGACUUUCAGGUAGACCAAUAAUUUUUAAAUUCUCUGUCCCGAAUCUAUUUUCCAAGUCAGGUGAUUUUCCAAUAGGAUAUUUCACAUUUUUUCCUAUUUUUUCCCUUUUUUGGUUUUGCAUUAUUGUAUCUUGAUUUCUCAUAAAUUCAUUGGAUUCCAUUUGCUCGAUUCUAGUUUUUUAAAAGAAAAUUAUUUUCCUCAGUGAGCUUUUGUACUUCCUUUCCCAAUUAGCCAAUUUUGCUUUUUAAGGUAUUCUUGCCCUCAUUAGUUUUUUUUUUUUUUGUAUUUCCUUUUGCACCCCUCUCAAUUCUUUCCCUAAUUUUUCCUCUAUCUCUCUUAGUUGAUUUUCAAAGUUCUUUUUGAGCUUUUCUCUAGGCUAUACCCAAUUCUUAUUUUUCUUGGAGGCUUCAGAGAAUCUUUGGAUUCUCAAGCUCUAAAAUUUGUCUAGAGUCAUUAUUUAAAGGAAUUUGGAGCAGUUUAGGGAAGAGCUUGGGCAAGUUCCUGCCUUUUCUUCACUGCCAUGGCUCCAGCUCCUCGAGUUCAUUUUACAGAUGAGAAAACUGAAGCCAAAAGAAGUAAUUUGGCUUGAAGUAGGAUUUGAAUUCAAGUCUUCCUGGCCUCAGGCCCAAGCUCUAUCCAGAUCCUAGCUGCUUAUCAGUCAUAACAUAAUAGCAUAAAUGAGUCCAGAAGCAAAUGGUGGUGCAAUAAAUAAAAUUCUGGACCUAAGUUCAAAUCCUCCCUCAGGGAUUUACUACCAAAUUAUUAUUCUAAUGAGAAUAUUGAUGUUAAUAAUUUAGUGAGAUUAAAUUAUUUUCUCAUGCUCUUCAAGUUUGGAAUCAUGAUUAAAAAAAACAACUUUAUUUCUGUGGGUUUGUAGUGUAAGAUGGAGAAGGGAAAUGAUGGGGUUCAUAGAAUGCUUUUAAAACUAAAAAAGAUCUAAGAUCAUUGAAUUCAUCAUUUCUUAUAGUAUAGAAGUAUUUCAUCACAGUUAUAUACCACAACUUGUUAAUCCAUUCCACAGUUGAUGGGUAUUCUAAUAAUUUCCAGUUCUUUGUCACCUCAAAGAAGGCUGCUAUAAACAUUUUUAGAACAUAGAUAUUCUUUUCCUUUUUUCCUAAUCAUCUUUGGAAAAAGACCUAGUAGUGGUAUAGGUUAUUUUGACUGUAAUAAAUACACAAAUUGGCUAUAAAGGACAAAUAAAGGACACUAUCUACAUCAAGAAAAAGAACUGAUAAAUAGAAGUACAUAUAGAAUAAUUUUACAUAUCUCUCUCUUUUUCUCAAUACUAUUUGUAUCUAAUGCAAGACAUCUCUGAAAUAGGGAGAAGGGAAAAAAAGAAUAAAAAGGAAAAAGAAAUUUACAUGAUAUCUUUAUUAUAUUUCUAAAAGGAAUAUCAAGUUGUACAUAAUAGAUCUGCAGUUUCGUGUGCAGUCAUCUUUUUAUUAUUUUGGUACAGAAUGCUUGCUUGUUUUAUUUCAUAAAUAUAAAAUAAAAUAAAUUUAAAAAAACUAAAGUGAGCUCUCAAUUUUUAUUCAGUGAGCCUCAUGAAUCUAAAUGAAAAUGGGAAGAGCCAAGUGCUUUGGGAUGCAAAUCAUGCUCAUUAUCAAACAGGAAACCCUUUAAGAAAUAUAUAAUAGAAAAACCAUCAAGAGAGGGAGAAAAAAAGCAAAUUUCUUUACUAGCUCUAUAGAGAGAAGUGUCUGGGAGCAUGGAGUCCAGAACUAGCUUAUUAUACUUUCUUCCUCUCUCUUUCUCCCCAUCUCCCUUUCUCUCCUCCCUUUCCUCCAAAGAAAGCAGCAGAUCUAAUUGUAGGAUCUCAGGAUCUUUACAUUGGAGGAAUACUGAUAAGCAAAUAUACAAUGCAGAUGUCUGAACGAGAUACUAGUUUCUGAACUUCAGGAAAGAGAUGCAUAAAUUCUCAAUCAGGACUUCAUCAUGUCCCUGCCACAUGCCUUCCCUUUCUUAUUUUUCUCAUUCUUUCUCUUUUUAUGUGUUAUUCCCAUUUUCAACAUUAGAUUGUGAGCUUCUUUAAAGCAAGGAAUUUUUUUUUAAUCUUUUCUUGUAUCCCAGCACUCACUAUAAUGCCCGAGUGCUUAAUAAAUGUUUAUUGACUAACUAAAAUUUCCACCAUCAAGGUUACUACUUUGUAUUAAAAGCAAUGUAUCUACAAUUACCAAUUAAAAUAGAAAUGCAUUAUUUGGAGAGAAUAAAAUUGUAUAUAUUUCUAAUGAGUCUUGAAGAUCCAAAAUAUAGAAGACAGGCUGGGAGGGAAUACCAAAAGAUAUGUGUAAAUGGGGUGGGUGGGUGGAAGAUAGAGAUUGGGAAGAAACCUAUAAAGGAUGAUGAGGGGAAAUUCAUAAUAAAUUCUAGUUCAUGAUGUUACUCAAAGCUAACAUAGCUUAAAGAAUUAUAGAAAAGGAACAUGAGAUCAUUGAAUCCCAUCCCUUCAUUUUAUAGAUGAGGAAAACAAAAGCCCAGAAAAGUAAAAUAAGGAGCAAUCACAUUGAUUCAACAGAUGGGUAAACUGAGGCAAACAGGGUAAAGAGACUUGCCCAGUCACACAGUUAAUGAGUGAGGCUGGAUCUGAACAAAGAAAGAUGGGUCUUUCUGACUCCAACCUGAUGCUCUUUUCACUGUGCAGCCCAGUGCCGGUAUGUGUGCAUGCAUAGGAGUAUGUGGAUGUGUAAAUAUAUUUGUGUGUUUACAUAGACAUAUAUAUGUGUAUACAUCUGUGCGUACUGGAGAGUCUCAGAAAGAAGGCACUAUGAUUAAGGAAGACAAGGGAAGGCUUCAAGCAGAAGUGGGAUUGUAGCUGAGAGAGAGGGAAAGGGAGAAGGGAGGGAAGGAGAGAGAAGAGAAGGGAGAGAAGGAGGGGGAGACAGAGAGAGACAGACAGACAGACUGACAGACAGACACAAGAGACACAGAGAGACAGAGACAAAGACAGAGAUAGAGACAGAGAGACAAAGACAGACACAGAGACACAGAGAGACAAAGGCAAAGAGAUAGAGAGACAGAGACAGAGACAGAGAGAGGGAGAUCAGGUCUGGGAAAUAGUCAAUAAAAAUACUGGGAGCUGGGAAAUGCAAUGCAUUAUGAGAAAAACAAUUAGGAGAGUUGUUGGCACAUGAAGAUAAGGUCAAAGAAGACCAAAAAGACAGGAAAGUACCAGUUUAUUAAGAACUUUAAAAGCCAAACUGAGGAAUUAAAUGUUUGUUUCCCUCUGACAGAUUUCCUAGGUGUCAAAUGGUGAAAAGAGAACAAAUUCUGUAGUUUCCCUAUUUGAAUCUGGACUUGAUGGCAGAGGCUCUCCGGUGAUUGGCUUCCUGAUGACAAAGAUAGCUCCCCAACAAUGACUUAAUCCAUUAAUAAAGAUGCGGCGGCUCAGGGAGGUUGGGAUUUGCCAGAGAAUGAUUGUGGCGUGACUUUCUGGGACUACACUGAGCCGGAGAAGGAGACCAUGAGAAAUUCAGACUGAGCUUGGCCAGCAGGGAGAGGGAGCUGUCUGUUAAGAGUCAAAGUGCCUGAGAAUCCAUAUGUCUAUCAAAAGAAUUUCCACUGGGGGAAAAGCAAGCAUUUCUAAGGGUUCUAUUUGGGAUUUCUUUUAUUUUUCUUCCAGGUUUGUAUAACAUUCAUCUUUUUUUUAUUUUUGUGAAGGGAGUCACUGUCACCAAGUGAGCUGUGGUCAGAUGGUAAUUUCUUCACAUUUUCUAGGUAAAAGCUGGAGAAAUGAGAAACUGCCAAAAGUAAAUCUGUGUCCUUCAUUUUAUGAGUCUCUAGCUUACAUGAACUUUAUUUUUUUUAAUUGUAGUUUGUGGGCAAUUUGGGGUUAAUUGACUUGCCUAGGACCAUAUAGUAAGUGUCAAUUAUCUGAAGUUGGAUUUGUAUUCAGGAUCUCCUGACCCUAAGGCCAACGUUCUAUCCACUGUACCGAUCUAGUUGCCCUUAAAUGGACUUUUAAUUACAAUUUUUAAAUUAAAUGUUUAAAAUUAUUGUACACAUAUAACCUGUAUCAGAUUGUCUUGAGAAGGGGGAGGUAAGAGAGAGGGGGGGGAAUUUGGAACUCAAAAUCUUACAAAAAUGAAUGUUGAAAACUGUCUUUACAUGUAAUUGGGGAAAUAAAACACUAUUAAAAACUCUGAUUAAGCACCUAGUAUGUAUAAAGAGAAAAGAAGCAGUCACAAGGCCUAGAGCCUCAGUACUAACUCUGACAUACUAUUGCUGUGGGACAGCAGGCAAGUCCCACACAAUGCUCCCAAUUCCUCCUUAGGAUGACAACUUGUAGAUAAGUUACCACUUUCAUUGGUAGAGAGAGUUUCCUAAUGGGCAGUUCAUUAUAUAAAUAAAAGGCAGAAACAGAGACAGAGAGAAACAGAGAUAAAAAGAGAGACAGACAGAGACAGAGAGAAAUAGAGUGACAGAGACAGAGAGAAAGAAGAGAGACAGAAACAGAGUUAGAGAGAGAGAACAAGCACACCUGAGAAAUCAGGAAGUCAGGAAGUCUGGGGUACAAGUUCUACAUCUGAUAAAUAGUAGCUAUGUGACCAUGCACAAGUCAUUUUUCAGUGCCCCAGAGAGUUUUCUAAGACUCUCAGGGGUCCUCAAACAACAGCCCGCGGGCAGCUGAGGACAAUUAUCCCCCUCACCCAGGGCUAUGAAGUUUCUUUAUUUAAAGGCCCACAAAACAAAGUUUUUGUCUUUACUAUAGUCCGGCCCUCCAACAGUCUGAGGGACAGUGAACUGACCCCCUAUUUAAAAAGUUUGAGGACCCCUGCAAGUUAUAGAAGAAUUGCCGGUGCAUCCAGGUAGGGAGUCCUCAGCCUGACAGAAUCACUGUCCAGACUUAAAAUCAUAAAUAUUAAUUUAUGUCUCAACAUUCCAACUCAGAAACUGGACCAUCAAGAUGGUUAGGAAAAAAUAAUCUAAGCCAUGAAUUAGUCAUCAAUCUGCUCCAUUUGGUAAAGGAAAUAUGGUGUGUAUUGUGAUGCUUCCUCUUAAAAAAAAAAUCACACUGUAUUUUGUAAAGGAUUUGUUUACAAAAACAAUAUGGCUCUUGAUCUCAAGGAGUUUUGCUUCUACUGGGGAGGGGUGACACAUUAUAACAUUCUCAUUUAAGUAAAUGAAAAUUUAACUAUUAAAUUAACAUUUAUAAAGAAAAAUUUUAUUCUAGGAAGAUAGGAAACUAGAAUCACUCAUCUGCAAGUAUUGACAUAUGUGUGUUCCUCAAAUAAAUUUUUCAGAAUGUAUAGCAUUUUCCCAGAGUUUGUACAAUAGCCAAGGUUAUUCUGUCAAGUUCUAUCUCCAUCAAAAGACAAAAUCCCUGGGACUCCAUCUGAGCCAGUAGCCAAGAGCCGGACAGAUUGACUGUCAAAUGAAGCAGUCCCAGAUGGGCCCCUUCGCACACUGCAGUCGUUGACAGCCAGCUCUCUCAAGGAGCUGAUUUAACAUCAAGUGUGCUCAUUCUAAGAGGCUUUCUAAUGCUGACUUUUUAAACUCAAGGUCACUGCCAAUUGAUGUAGGAUCCCUGUUUUGUGUUAGUAAAAAUACUGGAAGGAAAAUGAGAGCUUAAUGAUCAGAGGAGGUGGAACAAAUGAACAACUUUGCCAUGUUAAUGUACUAUUUUUUAAAAAUGAGAAAUUCAGAGAAACAUGGGAUGAACUGCAUGAAUUUUUAGGGAAGAGGUCUUAUAUGCCCCCUUAUAUAAACUAAUGCAGAGUGAAGAAAGCAGAAUCAGAACUAUGUUCACAAUGAUGACAAUAACAUUCACAAAUGAUGAGAGCAAUCAAAGGCUGUCCCACCAAGACUAAUUGUAAUGAAAAAUUUUAGCCUCUGGAGAAUAGAUAAUUAAAUGCUUUAUUCCUCCCAGUAGAGAGAUAGGGACCCAAGGGGAUGGAAUACUGUAAACAUUAUCAUAUGCAUCGGUUUUAUGGGUCAGAUUGCUUGACUUUUUCUUUGAAAGAUUCAAUGGGGACUUGUCUUUGAAAAUGAAUGUCAUGUAAAAUGAAAACAAAAACCAUUGUAAAUGAAAAUUUUUUUAGGACCUAACAAUGGCAGUCUUAUAGUUAUGAGGAAAUUUAGUGGCAUGGGAAAAAGAGCAGUGGUUCUGGAAGUAGGAAGGUCUCAGUCCAAAAUAACAGGCUUAUAUACUCAUUAGAUCUGUGAUCAUGAACAAAUUUCUUAGCCUUAAUUUCCUCAUCUGUAUAAUGGAAAUAAUAAUAGCUCCUUAGGGUUGUAAUGAUAUUAAAAUGAGGUAAUAUUUAUAAAACAUUUUUCAAAUCUUAAAAUGCUAUAAAAUUAUUAUUAUUUUUAUUAUUUAUUUUAUUAUAUAAAUAGUAUUUAUUACUAUUAGUCUAUUUACAGAUCAGGAAACCAAGGCCCGAAAAAGUUAACUGUGCAAGAUCAUACAUGGUAAGUAGUUGAAUUUAGAUUU